This is a long non-coding RNA of Eriocheir sinensis (Chinese mitten crab), 1844 nucleotides long. RefSeq lists it as uncharacterized. The record is from RefSeq and is a predicted model, not a curated record. NCBI's taxonomy places the organism in Eukaryota, Metazoa, Arthropoda, Malacostraca, Decapoda, Varunidae. The transcript has 3 exons.
ACUUUAGAAAGACUACAAAAUGAACACACUGGCUUCAUAAACCACAAACACAAACUAGCAAGAACUGUUGUUUUAUCGCCACCUUCAUCAACAAACUCCCUAUGUCAUGUUUUUGACUUUGGGAAGUUGAAAAAGCCGUCUCAUUUUGGUAAUCUUCCGGUCAUGGGCAGAAGAGUUGAGAAAGGCGACUUUGAGGACACGCACACCCCAGACAAAGGCAACUCUGCCCAAAGGUGUGCACCGCACCAUGGCGGAAAACUGGCCGAGGAAAAUAUCCGGAAAUACACGAAAAAUGGCUUACCAGGCAGACUGUUACGGGGUUGAAGAGGUGCUGACAGUGUGCUGAUGGUGUUCUGAUGACGGGGUGACAGUGUGCUGAUGACGUGGUGUCAGUCUACUGACAAUGUGCUGACAGUGUGCUGACAGUGUGCUGACAGUCUACUGACAGUGUGCUGAUGAAGGACUUCUCUCACCACAGUCUGUCACUUUGUUUCGGACUUGAUUUUGUUCGUGUCACACGCCCAAAUUCACUUUCCAUGUGGGUCGACGUCACCCCUGGGGGCAUAUUGGCCUGGGAGAGGCUAGGCUGACUCACAAGUCGACGCUCUGACCCAUAUGAGCGUAUAGAUGCACACGGGAGCGUCCUUUCAAUUGCAAUUAAUUAUGGAAAUUUGCAAACGCGUCUGACGCGUCAACGGUAUAUGAUUGCAAAUCGCUUUUAACGCGUGAGACGCGUCAACGGUGCUCUACGGGUUAAGAACAGUGGCAGUCUGGCAAUCUUCAAGAAAGCGCUGAAGACUCACUUAUUCACUAAAUCCUAUGACUUUACAAACGUGACGAUCAGGGUUGCAGUAAAGGAAAUAAUUGAAACAUAUUCUCCUAUUUUUCAAAGAAUCACUUCACAUACACACAUAGAUCAUCCACAGUCUUUUCUGAUACUUUGAUUUGAAGCUGCAGUCAUUUUUCUUUGAGCAAUUUCAGUGAGGACAUGUCCAAAACAUGACAUGAUCUGGUUAGACUGUUAGGAGACUAGACAGAGUUGUGGUGUGGUGCUGGCCAAGGCUGGCUGGCUGGCUGGCUGCAGCUGGUCAGUCUUAGGCCUGGCUCAAACAGCCAGCCAGGUUACUUCAACAUGUGUUUUAAACUAAUGUAGACAAUAUUGAGGUUUACAUUCAUUUAAUUAUUUUCAUUUAUAAAAAAAUAUAUAAAAUCAACUUAGAUAAAAAAAUCUGAUUUGAAUAAAAAAAAUCCAUUUUUUUCAUUUAAAAAAAAUCAACAACCCUGGUGAGGAUUGAGGACAACUUUAGGUGCUAAUGUUACUGUUGUAAUGUUGGCGGCCCUGUGGAGCGCUGCGGAGGUGGACCGGGGCCUGAAACCUCAUCACCGGUGAACGGAAACAGGUAAACUUGACAUGGGUAAGCUUGGGUGUGAUUCUGGAAUAUUACCAAGCUGUCACCUCAGCCACAAAAAGCUUGAAACAGGUAAACUUGACAUGGGUAAGCUUGGGUGUGAUUCUGGAAUAUUACCAAGCUGUCACCUCAGCCACAAAAAGCUUGAAACAGGUUAACUUGACAUGGGUAAGCUUGGGUGUGAUUCUGGAAUGUUACCAAGCUGUCACCUCAGCCACAAAAAGCUUGAAACAGGUAAACUUGACAUGGGUAAGCUUGGGUGUGAUUCUGGAAUGUUACCAAGCUGUCACCUCAGCCACAAAAAGCUUGACACAGGUAAACUUGACAUGGGUAAGCUUGGGUGUGAUUCUGGAAUAUUACCAAGCUGUCACCUCAGCCACAAAAAGCUUGAAACAGGUAAACUUGACAUGGGUAAGCUUGGGUGUGAUUCUGGAA